This 547-nucleotide ribosomal RNA is filed under the name uncultured Thelebolales. RNAcentral's name for it is "eukaryotic LSU rRNA". The stretch from base 184 to 337 matches the Rfam family "5.8S ribosomal RNA". The record is from RNAcentral. Lineage: Eukaryota; Fungi; Ascomycota; Leotiomycetes; Thelebolales.
GUGACCUGCGGAGGAUCAUUAAAGAGACGUUGCCCUUCGGGGUAUACCUCCCACCCAUUGUUUAUUAUACCUUUGUUGCUUUGGCAGACCCGGCUUCGGCCCACCGGCUCCGGCUGGUCAGUGUCUGCCAGAGGACCUAAAACUCUGUUUGUUAAUAUUGUCUGAGUACUAUAUAAUAGUUAAAACUUUCAACAACGGAUCUCUUGGUUCUGGCAUCGAUGAAGAACGCAGCGAAAUGCGAUAAGUAAUGUGAAUUGCAGAAUUCAGUGAAUCAUCGAAUCUUUGAACGCACAUUGCGCCCUCUGGUAUUCCGGGGGGCAUGCCUGUUCGAGCGUCAUUACAACCCUCAAGCUUUGCUUGGUAUUGGACAUUGCCAGUUUCUGGCAGGUCUUAAAAUCAGUGGCGGUGCCAUUUGGCUUCAAGCGUAGUAAUUCUUCUCGCUUCGGAGAUCCAGGUGGUUACUUGCCAAUAACCCCCAAUUUUUUCAGGUUGACCUCGGAUCAGGUAGGGAUACCCGCUGAACUUAAGCAUAUCAAUAAGCGGAGGC